GAGGCUCCAGGGAGUCCCAGCUUUCAAAAUCAAUCUGGUACGUUUUGGUUGCGCAUCCUUUCUGUUUCACUGUAGCAUGUUUCGUAAAUCAGAUAUAUUGCUUUUAGAUUAUAUUUAUUCUGGCCUGCCUCUUUUCCUAUUCCUAAUUUUCUCUGACUUGCUUUUGAAUUGGAUUGUCUUGAAAAUAUUUGGAAUGAUUA
This 200-nucleotide long non-coding RNA is filed under the name Elaeis guineensis (African oil palm). Its description in RNAcentral is "long non-coding RNA (EGUI_LNC040360)". The record is from RNAcentral. Lineage: Eukaryota; Viridiplantae; Streptophyta; Magnoliopsida; Arecales; Arecaceae.